This 301-nucleotide ribosomal RNA is filed under the name uncultured bacterium. RNAcentral's name for it is "partial 16S ribosomal RNA". It matches the Rfam family "Bacterial small subunit ribosomal RNA", at positions 509 to 807 of the family's 1533-position model. The record is from RNAcentral.
CAGCAGCCGCGGUAAUACGAAGGGGGCUAGCGUUGCUCGGAAUUACUGGGCGUAAAGGGCGCGUAGGCGGCUGGACAAGUCAGGCGUGAAAUUCCCGGGCUCAACCUGGGGACUGCGCUUGAGACUGUUUGGCUAGAGGACAGGAGAGGGUCGUGGAAUUCCCAGUGUAGAGGUGAAAUUCGUAGAUAUUGGGAAGAACACCGGUGGCGAAGGCGGCGACCUGGCCUGUUACUGACGCUGAGGCGCGACAGCGUGGGGAGCAAACAGGAUUAGAUACCCCGGUAGUCCCUGUCUCUUAUAC